This 624-nucleotide long non-coding RNA is filed under the name Homo sapiens (human). RNAcentral's name for it is "non-protein coding lnc-HCFC1-1:1". Lineage: Eukaryota; Metazoa; Chordata; Mammalia; Primates; Hominidae. The record is from RNAcentral.
ACCUGCGUGCCGCUGUCCCCAGUGCUGGUUAAAGGCAGUUCUUCGGGCGUGCGUCCCUUAUCAACCCGAGAGACCGUUCCCAAGGGGGCGGGGCCGAGCGCGUCGGAGGGGUUAGCAGUCUCAUCCGGGCAUUUCCGAGAUGCCGCCGCCGCCAUCUUUGUUUUGUGCUGAAAGUCGCUAUUGACGCCCGCGGACGGCCGGGCGAGGGGAAGUGGCAAGAUGGCGGCUCCCAGGGCGGAGGCGUGGAGGCUCGCCCGGUGGGGGGGCCGUGGGGCGGGGCGCGCCUGCGCCUGCACCUGAUCUGAGCGCGACUCGAGCUUUAGCCCAGCGCGCGGCAGCGCCGACCCCCACCCCCGCCGCGAGGCAGCGCAGGGGUCCUUUAAGAGGCUUGGGCCCAGGGGCGAAGCGGUGCGAGGGCGAGUGGGGGGAAGCGGUGACGUCACCCGGCUCCGCCUCCUCGCCCGACCGCCGGCGCCGCUGCCGCCAUGUUUAGUUGUUACUUCUUCACACAAGAUGGCGGCUCCCAGGGAGGAGGCAUGAGCGCCCUGCCGUUACCGCUUCUUCUGCCGUACAGUUGCCGCUUCGGGGCCUAACUCUAGCUCUUUGAAGCGGCUCCUGUGGGAA